Molecule: ribosomal RNA, 328 nt
Filed under: uncultured eukaryote
Lineage: Eukaryota
Description: partial 18S ribosomal RNA
Rfam family: Eukaryotic small subunit ribosomal RNA
Source: RNAcentral
CCCUUAGAUGUCCUGGGCCGCACGCGCGUUACACUGAUGCAUUCAACGAGCUUAUAACCUUGGCCGAGAGGCCUGGGCAAUCUUGUAAACGUGCAUCGUGAUAGGGAUAGAUUAUUGAAAUUAUUAAUCUUGAACGAGGAAUUCCUAGUAAACGCAGAUCAUCAAUCUGCAUUGAUUACGUCCCUGCCCUUUGUACACACCGCCCGUCGCACCUACCGAUUGGAUGGUCCGGUGAAGCCUCGGGAUUGUGGUUCUUGCCGCUUUAUUGUGGCGUGACCGCGAGAACUUGUCUAAACCUUAUCAUCUAGAGGAAGGUGAAGUCGUAACA